UGUUCUCGUUUGUCUGGCAUGUCACGCACCUGACUUUGACCUGUACAGGAAGUGCGUGACCUCCCUGUCCAACAUGUCGGAUCAUCUUUCUUUUUUCCCUUUCUUCUCUUUCUCUGAACGUUAUUGCUGCAGACCAGUACAGCAAACAACUGAGAACUAUAAGACAAUCGGGUAUCCGAGAAACCACUCAUGCGACACGGACCACCCAGAGCCCCUGAAGCGACCGCGUCCACACACCCAUCAGGUAUGCGACGGACAACAUAAAUGUAUGGAAGGUGAUCCACGAGGCCAAAUGGACUCCAUCAUCUCCAUCUUUGAAACUGGACCUGACAACCACAUUGUCUUGUUUGUGUUUGUGGAGAGCGAAAGGACAAAGAAGAAGAGUGACAGGUCAAGAGUGUUUACA
Hippocampus comes (tiger tail seahorse) is the source of this 406-nucleotide long non-coding RNA. RefSeq lists it as uncharacterized. NCBI's taxonomy places the organism in Eukaryota, Metazoa, Chordata, Actinopteri, Syngnathiformes, Syngnathidae. The transcript has 3 exons. The record is from RefSeq and is a predicted model, not a curated record.